AGAGUUUGAUCCUGGCUCAGGAUGAAUGCUGGCGGCGUGCCUAAUACAUGCAAGUCGAGCGGUAACAGGGGGUCUCACCGUUUCCUUGACACACCUAGCGUAUUAUCGUAUGUUGUUGACUUCGAGGGAACAGUGAGACCCUGCUGACGAGCGGCGGACGGCUGAGUAACGCGUGGGAACGGACCCCAAACUGAGGGAUAACUACUCGAAAGAGUGGCUAAUACCGCAUGUGAUCUUCGGAUUAAAGGAUUUAUCCGGUUUGGGACUGGCCUGCGUACGAUUAGAUAGUUGGUAGGGUAACGGCCUACCAAGUCGACGAUCGUUAGAUGGUUUGAGAAGAUGAUCAUCCAGACUGGGACUGAGACACGGCCCAGACUCCUACGGGAGGCAGCAGUAGGGAAUCUUUCACAAUGGGCGAAAGCCUGAUGGAGCAACGCCGCGUGCAGGAUGACGGCCUUCGGGUUGUAAACUGCUUUUAUAACCGAGAAAUAUGAUGGUAAGUUAUGAAUAAGGACCGGCUAACUACGUGCCAGCAGCCGCGGUCAUACGUAGGGUCCAAGCAUUAUCCGGAUUGACUGGGUGUAAAGAGUUGCGUAGGUGGCAGGGUAAGUAGAUAGUGAAAUCUGGUGGCUCAACCAUUCAGACUAUUAUCUAAACUGCUCCGCUCGAGAGCGUUAGGGGUAGCUGGAAUUUCUAGUGUAGGAGUGAAAUCCGUAGAUAUUAGAAAGAACACCGAUAGCGUAUGCAGGCUACUGGGACGUUUCUGACACUAAGGCACGAAAGCGUG
Molecule: ribosomal RNA, 787 nt
Filed under: uncultured bacterium
Lineage: Bacteria
Description: bacterial SSU rRNA
Rfam family: Bacterial small subunit ribosomal RNA
Source: RNAcentral